RNAcentral lists this transfer RNA (62 nucleotides) under Eremobates cf. palpisetulosus SEM-2008. Its description in RNAcentral is "tRNA-Gly". The record is from RNAcentral. Lineage: Eukaryota; Metazoa; Arthropoda; Arachnida; Solifugae; Eremobatidae.
CUUUACUUAGUAUAACUAGUACACUUGACUUCCAAUCAAAAAGAAUAAUCUUAUAGUAAAGA